GGGCGAGUGGCGGAAUGGCAGACGCUGGGGACUUAAAAUCCCCUGCCCGAAAGGGCGUGCGGGUUCGAAUCCCGCCUUGCCCA
This 83-nucleotide transfer RNA is filed under the name Phycisphaerales bacterium. RNAcentral's name for it is "tRNA-Leu". It matches the Rfam family "tRNA". Rfam says of the family: Transfer RNA (tRNA) molecules are approximately 80 nucleotides in length. Their secondary structure includes four short double-helical elements and three loops (D, anti-codon, and T loops). The record is from RNAcentral. Lineage: Bacteria; Pseudomonadati; Planctomycetota; Phycisphaerae; Phycisphaerales.